UUCUUCUUGGAGGCUGCCUCCUUUGGAGUGUUUGGUGAGCUCUGACUCUUAGGAACAGACACUUCAGUGCACUAUGAACAGUUUUGUAGAGGGCCAGUUGAUGCCAAGACUCCAGCUGCUCUGGUAUAUGCAUUCUGUGGGACUUAGCUUGGACUAGCUCUCAUUUGAUUGUGUGGACUGAACACUCAGCAGCAGCUGGAAUACAUCAUGUGCAAUUGUGGAGUUCACCUUCUCCUUUUGUUUGAGUCAUGGAGUUGUUAGGAUCUACUGGAAUAUUCCCUACAGUCUGUAUUUACUUUCCAGAGGGAGCAUACUAUAAGGCUGUAACCAGAUGAGCCGUGUGUACUUUUAUGCUUUUUGCUUUCAGAACUCAGAGACUGCAGUUUUUGAUGGUAUUUUCUGUAUUAUCUUCACCAUGCAGUUGACUGAGCCAUACUGAGUACCAAAGGCACGUUACUUUCCAUGGGAGAUUUGGGACUGUACAUCUGAGCUGGGGUAAUUCACUUGGGUAGACUUCAAUGUAACCACAGAAAAGCACAAAACUGAAGCUUCCUUGUGAAAAGAGUAUGUUAAUGCUUUUGAAGCUUUUAAUUUUGUGUUUGUGUAAUGAAUUUGAAAGAAAUGACACAUGUAUGGAAUAUAAUGAACUUGAGAGAAGCAAAGUGAGCUGUUAAAAUUCAGGUGUGUGCUUACUAGGAAGACAGUGGCUUUUUGGGGUUCUGUAUUCUCCCCUGUUGUAUCUCUGGUGGCAUUCCUGGAGCUGUCCCCACACACCAGCUGUAAUACAGCCUACAGGACUACUUGUUCAGGUCAGCAGAGAGGAUGUUGUGCUGAGCAGCACUCAGGGACUUCUUUGUGGUUGGACCCUUUUAGGUUUCUUUCAUUAUGCCAAGAAAACUGUUAAAUUCAUUAAACACCACCAAGAAUGUUGACAGGAGCACUGUCAGUCAUGUCCUCAUGGACUCUUAUGCCUACAUAGUUUGCUGUGCUCUCUUAAAUUUUUUUCAAUUGAAAAUGAGGUCUGGUACAUCGAUUUGGGUUCAUCGUGAUACAUGUAAGUUUACCUCUGUGCGCAACCAUAUGGACAUGCAGUGUUUUACCAAACAACUGCAAAGGAAGUCUGCAAAUUGGAAUCACUAUCCUAUCUCCAGGGAAGACUACAAUUGUCAAUUCUCUGUCAGCUAAUUGAAAAUAAUGAAAUGUAAGUUACAAACAGCAGCAAAAUUGUAUGAGUCAUUCUAUUUAUACUUGUAAUUACGUCUAAAGGUCUGAGUGUCUUUAAAUUGAAAGAAGAUUGGUUCUGUCAGGUGCUUAACAAGAUUUUCUUGGAAAGGGUCUUUCUAGAGAAAGCACUGUAGAAACCAUCUUUGUCAGCAAAGCGUAAACAGCUUGACACCGUAUGCCAAAAUUCAAGUGAGGUAAUGCUGCAAUGCACUUGUGCACAUUGUUUCAACAAGCAGAUGUAUGUGGCCAAGAUAGAGAGUGACUGCCUCAUGAUGCUAAUUCCCUCUACUUCAGUUACUGUGCGUUAGCUCAAAGUGGAGAUGGAAAAUGCUGAGGGCGGGUG
Gallus gallus (chicken) is the source of this 1567-nucleotide long non-coding RNA. NCBI's taxonomy places the organism in Eukaryota, Metazoa, Chordata, Aves, Galliformes, Phasianidae. The record is from Ensembl.